GACGAACGCUGGCGGCGUGCUUAACACAUGCAAGUCGAACGGAAAGACCCUGCUUUUGUGGGGUGCUCGAGUGGCGAACGGGUGAGUAACACGUGAGUAACCUGCCCUUGACUUUGGGAUAACUUCAGGAAACUGGGGCUAAUACCGGAUAGGAGCUCCUGCUGCAUGGUGGGGGUUGGAAAGUUUCGGCGGUUGGGGAUGGACUCGCGGCUUAUCAGCUUGUUGGUGGGGUAGUGGCUUACCAAGGCUUUGACGGGUAGCCGGCCUGAGAGGGUGACCGGCCACGUGGGGACUGAGAUACGGCCCAGACUCCUACGGGAGGCAGCAGUGGGGAAUAUUGCACAAUGGGCGGAAGCCUGAUGCAGCAACGCCGCGUGCGGGAUGACGGCCUUCGGGUUGUAAACCGCUUUCGCCUGUGACGAAGCGUGAGUGACGGUAAUGGGUAAAGAAGCACCGGCUAACUACGU
RNAcentral lists this ribosomal RNA (467 nucleotides) under uncultured bacterium. RNAcentral describes it as "partial 16S ribosomal RNA". It matches the Rfam family "Bacterial small subunit ribosomal RNA", at positions 28 to 506 of the family's 1533-position model. The record is from RNAcentral.